Oncorhynchus tshawytscha (Chinook salmon) is the source of this 1221-nucleotide long non-coding RNA. The record is from Ensembl. NCBI's taxonomy places the organism in Eukaryota, Metazoa, Chordata, Actinopteri, Salmoniformes, Salmonidae.
UGCUAGUCAGGCGUGCGGGUGCAGGCAACGAACGGUUGAAAAGCAUGCAUUUGGUUUUACUAGCGUUUAAGAGCAGUUGGAGGCCACGGAAGGAGUGUUGUAUGGCAUUGAAGCUCGUUUGGAGGUUAGAUAGCACAGUGUCCAAGGACGGGCUAGAAGUAUAUAGAAUGGUGUCGUCUGCGUAGAGGUGGAUCAGGGAAUCGCCCGCAGCAAGAGCAACAUCAUUGAUAUAUACAGAGAAAAGAGUUGGCCCGAGAAUUGAACCCUGUGGCACCCCCAUAGAGACUGCCAGAGGACCGGACAGCAUGCCCCACAUAUAUACCCCACUUUGGACAAUCCUCCUCUGCAAUGCUUACAUCUUCUGGUUUGACAGGAAGAGGGUAACAGGAUACUAAACCCUUAGGUUGCAAGAUCGGUUCCCCGAGCUGACAAGGUACAAAUCGUUCGUUCUGCCCCUGAACAAGGCAGUUAACCCACUGUUCCUAAGCCAUCAUUGAAAAUAAGAAUGUGUUCUUAACUGACUUGCCGAGUAAAAUAAAAAUAAAUAAAUAAAAAUUGUGUCGACGACCGGCUCCCUCCUAGUCAGGUUGUGUCGACGACCGGCUCCCUCCUAGUCAGGUUGUGUCGACGACCGGCUCCCUCCUAGUCAGGUUGUGUCGACGACCGGCUCCCUCCUAGUCAGGUUGUGUCGAUGACCGGCUCCCUCCUAGUCAGAUUAUAUUGACGACUGCCUCCCUCUAGUCACUAGUGUGUCUUAUUUAUUUAAUCAAACAGCGUUUAAAGCAUCAUAUGUUCAGUACAUAUAGAUUUUAUAAAAACAAGUGGGGCGAUUGAUAGAAAUUACAGAUGACUCUUGGUUGACCGUGGAUCAAAUCCAGGCUGUAUCAUAACCGGCCGUGAUUGGGAGUCCCAUAGGGCGGCGCACAAUUGGCCCAGCGUCGUCCAGGGAACGCAGUCAUUGUAAAUAAGAUUUUGUUCUUAACUGAUUUGCCUAGUUAAAUAAAGGUUACAUUUAAAUAAUUUUUAAAAAGUGAUUCAUUGACAAACCAUAUUUUACAAAUCCGUCAAGGCACCAAAACAAAGGUUUCAAACCAAUUCAUGAAUGUAAUUGAAUCUAGGUGUCUUGCCUUUAAUGUAAGGGCAUGAAAAAAAAUGGCUGACAAUGACUUAUCAACAGCUCUAAUAAUUUGCCCUCACAGGAAAUCUACACUGGCAAUUAUA